Molecule: ribosomal RNA, 523 nt
Filed under: uncultured bacterium
Lineage: Bacteria
Description: bacterial SSU rRNA
Rfam family: Bacterial small subunit ribosomal RNA
Source: RNAcentral
AGAGUUUGAUCAUGGCUCAGGACGAACGCUGGCGGCGUGCUUAAUACAUGCAAGUCGAGCGAGGUUACUGCGACAGAUCCCUUCGGGGUGAAGUUGCUUUAGCCUAGCGGCGGACGGGUGAGUAACGCGUGGGUAACCUACCCUAAAGUUCGGGAUAACAGCGGGAAACCGCUGCUAAUACCGGAUGCCUUUACCUUGGGGCAUCUUGAGGUAAAGAAAGGUAACGCUUUGGGAUGGGCCCGCGUCCCAUUAGCUAGUUGGUGAGGUAACGGCUCACCAAGGCGACGAUGGGUAGCCGGCCUGAGAGGGUGGACGGCCACACUGGGACUGAGACACGGCCCAGACUCCUACGGGAGGCAGCAGUAGGGAAUAUUGCGCAAUGGACGGAAGUCUGACGCAGCGACGCCGCGUGAGCGAUGAAGGUCUUCGGAUCGUAAAGCUCUGUCCUUGGGGAAGAAGGCGAAAGCUUGACGGUACCCAAGAAGAAAGCCCCGGCUAACUACGUGCCAGCAGCCGCGGUAAU